GACGAACGCUGGCGGCGUGCUUAACACAUGCAAGUCGAACGGAAAGGCCCUGCUUUUGUGGGGUGCUCGAGUGGCGAACGGGUGAGUAACACGUGAGUAACCUGCCCUUGACUUUGGGAUAACUUCAGGAAACUGGGGCUAAUACCGGAUAGGAGCUCCUGCUUCAUGGUGGGGGUUGGAAAGUUUCGGCGGUUGGGGAUGGACUCGCGGCUUAUCAGCUUGUUGGUGGGGUAGUGGCUUACCAAGGGUUUGACGGGUAGCCGGCCUGAGAGGGUGACCGGAAACAUUGGGACUGAGAGACGGCGCAGACUGAGAGGGGAGGCAGCAGUGGGGAAUAUUGCACAAUGGGCGGAAGCCGGAUGCAGCAACGCAGCGAGCGGGAUGACGGCAUUAGGGGUGUAAACCGAAUUCGCCUGUGACGAAGCGUGAGUGACGGUAAUGGGUAAAGAAGCACCGGCUAACUACGUG
This 468-nucleotide ribosomal RNA is filed under the name uncultured bacterium. RNAcentral's name for it is "partial 16S ribosomal RNA". It matches the Rfam family "Bacterial small subunit ribosomal RNA", at positions 28 to 507 of the family's 1533-position model. The record is from RNAcentral.